Molecule: long non-coding RNA, 730 nt
Organism: Arachis duranensis
Lineage: Eukaryota; Viridiplantae; Streptophyta; Magnoliopsida; Fabales; Fabaceae
Exons: 3
Source: RefSeq, a predicted model, not a curated record
UACAAACCUUUCCUUUCUAUAUCUGAUGUUAUUUUUGUUUAUAUUGUCAGCCGUCUGUUACAACUAAAGAAAUUAAUAAAGCAGUGCAUCAGAUGAUAAUUGAUGCUGGUGCUUAUCCCUCACCCCUUGGUUAUGGUGGAUUUCCAAAAAUUAUGUGCACAUCAUGGAAUACCCGAUUCUAGGCAGUUACAGGUAACUCGAGAGUUCUUGGAAAAGGGAAUAGCUGUUUGCAAGGAUGGUGCUCCUUUUAGAAAAAUUGGCAAGAGAAUCAGGUGUUGAUUAGGCUGGAUUUGAUAAUCUUUGAUUCUAGACAUUAUAAAUUCUGGAGAUCAGGUGUUGACUAAGCUGGCGUGAAUUUUACAUAAGAGAUUGGAGGUGGAAAUUGGGAUUCCCUUUGUGUAAUUGUUGUUUAAUUCGGUUGAUCUUUUAAGCGGGAAAUUCAAUUUCUGUUUAUGACUAAAAAUUUACUUGAUAUAUUGCAUGAUUUUUUUAUGGGUACUGUUUUCUUUAGCUGUCAGCUUUGCUGUCCAAUAUUGGGCUUAACAUCCAUGAAGCUUAUGUUUUCUCCACCACUGAUGACUACUCCCUCGAUGUAUUUGUGGUGGAUGGAUGGCUAGUAGAGGGAUCAUGGUCACGCUAAUUAAUUCCCUUUCAGCUGUGGAGGAACCCUUGGUUGCAAAAGCAAAAUGUGAAAAUUGGGAGAGAGACAAUAGAUUGUUAAAGAUAGAAG